AACGAACGCUGGCGGCGGGCCUCAUACAUGCAAGUCGAGCGCGAAAGUCCGCAAGGAUGAGUAAAGCGGCGCACGGGUGAGUAACACGUGGAUAAUCUACCCUUUGGAUUGGAAUAACCUGUCGAAAGACGGGCUAAUGCCGAGUAAGCUUACGAGUUCGUGAAGUUCUUGUAAGGAAAGAUGGCGCAAGCUAUCGCCGAUGGAUGAGUCUGCGUCCCAUUAGUUAGUUGGUGGGGUAAUGGCUUACCAAGACUAUGAUGGGUACCUGGUCUGAGAGGAUGACCAGGCACACUGGAACUGAAACACGGUCCAGACUCCUACGGGAGGCAGCAGUAGGAAUAUUGCGCAAUGGACGAAAGUCUGACGCAGCCACGCCACGUGAGUGAGGGAAGG
RNAcentral lists this ribosomal RNA (393 nucleotides) under uncultured bacterium. RNAcentral describes it as "bacterial SSU rRNA". It matches the Rfam family "Bacterial small subunit ribosomal RNA", at positions 29 to 415 of the family's 1533-position model. The record is from RNAcentral.